GACGAACGCUGGCGGCGUGCUUAACACAUGCAAGUCGAACGGAGUGGCGAACGGGUGAGUAACACGUGGGUGACCUGCCCUGCACUUCGGGAUAAGCCUGGGAAACUGGGUCUAAUACCGGAUAGUGUGGGAUGGGCCCGCGGCCUAUCAGCUUGUUGGUGGGGGAAUGGCAUACCAAGGCGGCGACGGGUAGCCGGCCUGGGAGGGUGGACGGCAACAAUGGGACUGAGGGACGGCCCAGACUCCAACGGGAGGCAGCGGGGGGGAAUCUUGCACAAUGAGGGGAAGCGUGAUGCGACGACGCCGGGUUGGUGAUGACGGCCUUCGGGUGGUAAACUCCUUUCACCAUCGACGCGGUAGAUGGAGAAGAAGCACCGGCUAACUACGUGCCAGCAGCCGCGGUAAUAC
RNAcentral lists this ribosomal RNA (408 nucleotides) under uncultured bacterium. RNAcentral's name for it is "partial 16S ribosomal RNA". It matches the Rfam family "Bacterial small subunit ribosomal RNA", at positions 28 to 526 of the family's 1533-position model. The record is from RNAcentral.